GACGAACGCUGGCGGCGUGCUUAACACAUGCAAGUCGAGCGGUAAGGCCCUUUCGGGGGUACACGAGCGGCGAACGGGUGAGUAACACGUGGGUGACCUGCCCUCAGCUCUGGGAUAAGCCUGGGAAACCGGGUCUAAUACUGGAUAUGACUCCAUGACGCAUGUUGUGGGGUGGAAAGCCUUGUGCGGCUGAGGAUGGGCCCGCGGCCUAUCAGCUUGUUGGUGGGGUGAGGCCUACCAAGGCGACGACGGGUAGCCGGCCUGAGAGGGCGACCGGCCACACUGGGACUGAGACACGGCCCAGACUCCUACGGGAGGCAGCAGUGGGGGAUCUUGCGCAAUGGGCGAAAGCCUGACGCAGCGACGCCGCGUGAGGGAUGACGGCCU
Molecule: ribosomal RNA, 387 nt
Filed under: uncultured bacterium
Lineage: Bacteria
Description: bacterial SSU rRNA
Rfam family: Bacterial small subunit ribosomal RNA
Source: RNAcentral